Molecule: ribosomal RNA, 463 nt
Filed under: uncultured bacterium
Lineage: Bacteria
Description: bacterial SSU rRNA
Rfam family: Bacterial small subunit ribosomal RNA
Source: RNAcentral
GGCCAGACUCCUACGGGAGGCAGCAGUGGGGAAUAUUGCACAAUGGGGGGAACCCUGAUGCAGCGACGCCGCGUGGGUGAAGGAGCACCUCGGUGCGUAAAGCCCUAUCGGCAGGGAAGAAAAGCGAACAGGUUCGCCUGGACGGUACCUGACUAAGAAGCCCCGGCUAACUACGUGCCAGCAGCCGCGGUAAUACGUAUGGAGCAAGCGUUAUCCGGAUUUACUGGGCGUAAAGGGAGCGUAGGCGGCCUGCCAAGUCUGAUGUGAAAUGCCGGGGCGCAACCCCGGGGCUGCAUUGGAAACUGGCAGGCUGGAGUGCCGGAGAGGCAGGCGGAAUUCCUAGUGUAGCGGUGAAAUGCGUAGAUAUUAGGAGGAACACCAGUGGCGAAGGCGGCCUGCUGGACGGUGACUGCCGCUGAGUCUCGAAAGCGUGGGGAGCACACAGGAUUAGAUACCCUAGUAU